CGGUGGUUGCUUGAGUGGCUGAAAAGGCUGGUCUCGAAAACCAGUAAUGGUGCAAAUCAUUCGAGGGUUCAAAUCCCUCACCACCGGCCA
This 90-nucleotide transfer RNA is filed under the name Mycoplasma sp. Mirounga ES2805-ORL. RNAcentral's name for it is "tRNA-Ser". It matches the Rfam family "tRNA". Rfam says of the family: Transfer RNA (tRNA) molecules are approximately 80 nucleotides in length. Their secondary structure includes four short double-helical elements and three loops (D, anti-codon, and T loops). The record is from RNAcentral. Lineage: Bacteria; Bacillati; Mycoplasmatota; Mollicutes; Mycoplasmatales; Mycoplasmataceae.